CCACUAGCAGGGGCCACUUCUGCAGUACCCUCCUUUGUACCCUCCCAUUAUGUGAUUCAGAUGACAGAUACAGGGGCAUGUGUCUUAGAGGCAUCCUGACAUUGCAGCCUUUGUGUAUGUCUCAUAUUUUAUCACAGAAAAAGGCCACAUUUGGGGUCCAAGUAUAGUUUGCCGCAUUUUACACACUAAGAAGCUAAGUCCAUCUCUCCCAUACCCCAUGCCAAUUUUCUGUUCUUUGUCCAAUGCUCAGCCAGUCAAAGCAGCCAUGUGAUCUAGCACAAAUUAAUACACUCUGAACUUUUACAAUCAAGGCCAGAUUAAAACAUCCUGGACAGUAGAUAUAAGAUGUUUAAUAAAAAUAAAUAAACUACAGGUUAAAUCUCUCUGACUUGAGGAAGAGAAAGUGCUGGGGAUUUAGCUCAGCGGCAUAAGCACCUGCCUUGCAAGCAGACAGUCGUGAGUUUGAUCCCUGGUACCGAUAAAAAACGAAAAAGACCAAAAAAAAAAAAAAAAAAAAAAAAGAGAUGUACCUGGGUUGCAGGACUGUGGGUGACUCUAAUUUUACUUUGCAUGUUUUGCUAACUUCUUGAUAUUUUCUAGGUGGAAUACAUAUUACCCAGGUAAUUAGAAAGAACACUAACAUUUUAAAAUAGACAGAAGUAGAACCCAAAAUGGAAGACAGCAGCUAGCCAGGAAAAAUGCGUUUGAGUUUUCACAUCAAAACUUAAACCUUAAAGGCAGAGAGAAAGAUCCCAGGAAAGCAGUGGGGUGAAGGCUGUCGGGUGGAGUGUGCAGAGAUGUGAUGGCACUAACUAGGACGCUGCAGUGGGUGAGGCUGGGUCGUAGCCGUUCCCAGAUGUGCAGGUUGUCACCUGCUUCCUUACCUGGUCUUGCUCAUCACAGAUGUCAGGCCCCCAGACAGCUUGACCCAGGGCAGAGGACAGAUGGACAGCACGGGGGGAAUCUGGAGCCAAGUCCCAAGAGCAAGGAGCCGCUGUCUUCCUCAUGCAGUGACUCGGACAGGGCAAUGAGAGCGGACGUCUCGGGGUCUACACUUAGGCUCACUUCACUGCACCUCUGGCUUGGGUGCUUCCUUCUGAUUUCCCUGCUCUGAGAGGUGCUGGCUAGUGCAAGGUGGGGGUGUGAAACACAGCGUUUCUCUUAAUGAUUUGUUUUCCUUUAAGCCCACCGUGCUAAUGGUCUGUGUUUGGAAAUUGGAAGGCUUGGGCUACAUGAAAAGCACAGAAGUCUCUCUCUAAACCCUUAGCUUCAUGCUGAUGCCCCUCUCCGCCCUCUUCUCUAAGUUUCUACUUACACCAAUCAGUGGACUGUCGCUGGCUGCUUUUGGACAGAGUUCAUGCUCUCAUCUUGGUGUAGAAAGACCUGCUGUUCACCCUGCAUCCCAGCCCUUGCCAUGCACACCAGCCACACCAAACCAGCCUGGUUCUCUGAACACAUGGCAGGCUGGUUUGUGUCUUUGGACACUUAGGGUCUUGUUGAUGUCACAAAUCACUACCAUGAACCAGCCUCUGAGGUAAAUGAGUUAAUUCUGUCUCAUAACAAGCCUGUCCUGUGAGCUCAAGGCCAAGCCUGUGGCUCAGAGAAGUGAACUAGCUCACGGAGGGUCACACAGCCAGUAAGUGACAGAGUCAGAAUUUGAAUGCAGGUUUAAUACCAAAGCCUACCUUACUUUUAUUUUUAUUAAAAUGUGUCAAAAUAUAGAUAAGAUAAAUUCCAUCGCAUUAGCCCUUGUGAAGUGGGUAAUCUGUGGUGUUGAGUGCGCUUACAUUGUUCUAAGCUCUGACCAGCAUUCAUCUCCGGAGCUUUGGGAUCCUUCCCACCUCACUGAAGGAAAGGCUGUGGACCGCCCGUCUCUUGGAGGAGAAGGUGCUAAGUUUCACACUCUGUUCCUCAACUCAGAUGUUUCAGACAGACGCAGAAAAUACUGUUCUGCAAAUGCUGCCUUCAUCGUUCUUGAGACAGGCAGCCUCUUUUUGUUUAUUUAUGUUUUAGGUGGAGCACCAGCAAUCAAACUCACCACCUUGAUUUGCCAGGCAGGCGCUUAUGCCACGGAGCUAUGUCCUCAGCUCUUUUCAUUUUGCGUUUGAUAGCAUGGUUAUAGAAAAUAGCCUUCUGCUUCCAUUGUUCUAAAAAAUAUACAGAAGUACAAGGAAGACUGGAUCUGACCCUUGCCUCAGUGCGGGGGACACCAGGAAAGCGGGGAACGGGGAGUGGGUGCUUUUGGUUCUCUAUAAACCCGUAGAUAUCACCUGACUUUUAAAACUAACGUUUAUUACUCUGGUAAAAAUAAAAAUCCACUCAUUUUUCAAAUACACUGUAAUCCUAGCACUCUGGGAGGACAAGACAGGAGGCCCACAGGUCGGACCCCAUCCUGGGCAUCUUAGAGAGGCCCUGCCUCAAAAUAAAAGGUGUAAGAGGGCUGGGGAUGUCGCUCAGGGCAAAGACAAAGUACAACAACGGUCCUGGAGGUUGUAGAGAGGGUGAAUGAAGCCUUUAUGCCCUGCUGAUGGGACUGUAAAAUGGUUCAGCUACCAUGUAAAACAGUAUCGAAGUCCCUAAAAAAAUAAUUAAACACAGAAUGUCACAUAGCUCAGAAAUCCCAUUUCUGAGCACAUGUCCAAAGGAAAUGAAAGCAGAACUCCGACUUAAUAUCUGCACAACCACAUUCACAGCCACACUCUCCAAAAAUGACCUGAGGCAGACCAUGCCGGACCCGAGAGGAGAGAAGCCGGUUCAGUUUUCCCGUGAGUCAGCAGAGGCCAUGCUGGGUCUGGGAUGAGCUAGUUUGAGAUUCCCAUAAGCUGCAUAAACCAGGCGGGCCCAGGAAGAGAGAAGGAACCCCCUCUCCUAAGCAACUGGCUGGGUCGGAGGACAGGCUGAGAUGAUAGCAACUGAGGUACAGAAACAACUCAAUGCUUGUAUUGUUUGACUGACUGCAGGCCUGGGCUGCUGGUCUGGACAUGUACUUGGAGGAUGGCAGUGUGCAUUGUGGCAACUGUGGGGAUUUCCUCCUGUCUUGUUUUUGAAAUCCAUCAUUCUCACUGUUUUGUUUUGUCCCAAUUUAUUGUUGUGUUUUAUUCAAUGCUCUGUGUUGAUUGGUUUUAUUUGAUUUCACUAUGUCUGAAGGAAUGGAUAGCUAUUGUGAAGAUAACAAGACACGUUAUGGUAGUCAUUGAUAACCUACUGUCCUAUUUUAAAGUUCUGUACCACUUGCACUGCUUUGUUUUGAUUGGCUUUAUUCUGUUUUAUAUCAUUGGUUUUAUUCUCUUUACAGUAAAAAAAAAUGGCCUGAGCCUAUCAAUGGAUAAAUGAAUAAAUACAAUGUGGUAGAAAUAUGCGAUGGAAUAUAAUACAGCUCUGAAAGGAAGAAAUUCUGACAUGCUACUACAUGGGCGAGCCUCAAAGACAUCAUACUAGUCAAUUUGUUUGUCUCAGUGUGUACCAGUGGGAGCCCUGGUGAUCGUGUGGUGCCUGGCAUUUUUAACUUUCCUCUCUUCUGGGCUGAGUCUGGCAGGUGUCUCUGCUGCAGUGUGCCCCUAAUCCUUUUUGUCAUUAACAGCUAUCUCAUGAGGGAGAUACCUUCAGACCAUGUAAAAGUCUUUCCUCAUCUACCUUCCCCUCACUAGAGUUCUGGCACCUAGUGAUAUUUCCUGACGUAAUUAGCACCAUAAUCAUUGCCAAGAGGUGAGUUCCCUAUGUGAUCAUUCCUUUUGUGUCUAUUCGGGUCCUUUUUUAUUGAUUAACUAUAUCUAACAGCAAGCAUCCAUGGGUCUUAUUUGAAUGACUGUGACACACCACUCCUUUGUUUAAUGCUCAAAACUUCCCAGUGUGGCCAGUCAGAGCCAGUUCAAACUGUUUCCUGUGUCCCUCUGGCUUGUCAUUAGCAUCGCUUGAUCACCUCCUGCCUUGAUGACACAGACAGAUGCUCCAGGCUCGUCUUAUUCUUUCCCUGAAUUUGGCCAUCCAGUUUGAUGGAUUGUUGAUAUAUAGAUUAACAGUCCAAUCCAUGCGGAUUAAAGUUUUUUUUUUUUUUUUUUUUUUUUGUACCAGGGAUUGAACUCACGACCUCACACUUGCCAGGCAGGAGCUUGUGCCAAUGAGCUACAUCCCUGACCUCCAUGUUGAUUUAUAAAACACAGCUACUUCUAAAUGUUUCAAAUGUGCAAACAGAAGAAGUCACCUGGUUUUCCUCGUGUGCCUAUCCUAUUGCUUUAACAGGUGCAUGUGAGAUUUCACCCUGGUUUUAACCAGAUUUGGUAAGCACCGAUCCAAACAGAGGAGGUGUGCACUGUACAGCUGAUUCAAUACUAGCUGUGAGCAUGAGUGACCCUGAGAGGGGACAGGAAAGGGGGCAACAGCGUCUAUACUGCGGGGGUGCUGGGCUUCUUUGCUCCUCUUGGAUGCUCAGGGGAAGCCAGCCUGGACACUUUGUCCCGGGAGAAGAGCUCUUGCGUAUUUACCUUUAAUGGUAACGGAACUAGAACCACUGUGAAAACACGCCAGAUUUCACUAAAUGGUGUUCAGCACCAUAACUGCUAGUGGCCGAGCUCAGAAUAACCCAGAUUUCUGCACUGAUGGGGAAUUAACUAUCGACUGCCAGGAAAUACCUGGCAUUUCAUUGUAGCAGCUCUCAAUAAGCAUUGUAGGAGCUCUUCGGCCAUGGAUUUUUAAAUAGUUACUAAUUAAACAAAAAUAGAAUCUACAAUAAUAGUAAUGAUCCUUGUGGCACAGGUCAGUAGCUAAGCUCCCUUGUGAGCGCUCAUUACCUGUGGGGAGAUGGUUUGUGAAAGACCGUGUGUGCUGCCUUGGAUACCCAUGGCUUGGGGUCGCUGCUGGACAAGGUGGAGGGCUGCACCCCGAGCCCACUGCAUCACCCCAUGCACCCUCCAUCCCUGCGGCCCAUCUUGUGUUGUCUCAGAGAAUCUGCUCACUGGUUGCUCUGCCCGUUUGUCUCAUGGCAUGUUUGAUGAGUAGCCCUCUGAAUCCCCUCUUAGGACGGGUGGGGCCCUGUUGCACAAGGGCCACUGAGUGUCCCUGUGCCGUGGAUGUCAAGUGGCCGUGAGUGGGCAAAUGGAGUAGUAGUGCCAAGUGGUCACUGAGCAGCUCCAGAUGGCUGGGCGGAGGCCCAUCCAGGUAUCGAAGGAGCCACAGGAGGCGGCUGUCUCAGGUAAAGGCAGGUCUUCCGUUUGGGUGACCCAAGUAAGUGUGCAGUUCCUUGUUUGUUCAUUCAUCCAAAAGAUAAACACUGAGCACCUACUAUGCCCCAGGUAUCGAAUUCGGUGCUGGGGAUAAAAAUCAAGGCAGACAUGGUCGUCAAUCCCAAGGACCAGACCGGGGAGGGAGGAGUCUACUAACACGGAAGUAAAACUGUGUCACUGAGGCAGCGCACAGCCGCAGUGCAUCAUGAUUACAGUUAUCACCGGCAGAGCGCAUCUUCAUGCCUACCCCCGCCCCCCAGACUCUGCGCCCCCUGGACACGCUAACUUCCCAUCCCCUCACCCUCGGCCUCUGGCAGCCGCGGUUCUCCGUUCUAUUCUUCAGCUGCUUCAGAGGCUUCCUGGGACGUGGAAUCCUGGCUGGUGCCCACCGUGUGAGGGUGGGAGUGCCUGGGCUUCAGGUCCAUUUUUGGUGAACAAAUGCUGCUUUGCCUUUGCCUGGCCUUUUCUAACCCAUGUGGUGGCCGCUGUAGAAAGUAAAAAGCAGAGUUAAAUGUGAACUGCAAAGUAAAGGGGUGGGAAGCUUCAGAAAGGGGCAGCUUUUGUUACCAUCUUUUGGGGAGGUACCUCAAACAGAAGUCAAAUAGUUUUGAUGAUCUUUGGAAGGCUUUUGGUUUGUUUUUCCUUUUUUGUAAUAAAAAUUGGAGUUUUAAAGUGUU
Molecule: long non-coding RNA, 5896 nt
Organism: Cavia porcellus (domestic guinea pig)
Lineage: Eukaryota; Metazoa; Chordata; Mammalia; Rodentia; Caviidae
Exons: 2
Source: RefSeq, a predicted model, not a curated record